RNAcentral lists this ribosomal RNA (403 nucleotides) under uncultured bacterium. RNAcentral's name for it is "partial 16S ribosomal RNA". It matches the Rfam family "Bacterial small subunit ribosomal RNA", at positions 28 to 526 of the family's 1533-position model. The record is from RNAcentral.
GACGAACGCUGGCGGCGUGCCUAAUACAUGCAAGUCGAACGCAGUGGGGACGGGUGAGUAACACGUGGGUAACCUCCCAUCAGAGGGGAUAAAACUUGGAAACAGGUGCUAAACCGAUACUGAUGGAUGGACCCGCGGUGAAUUAGCUAGUUGGUGAGGUAACGGCUCACCAAGGCAACGAUGCAUAGCGUACCUUAGAGGGUGAACUGCCACAAUGGGAUGUCGCAACGGCCCAGACUCCUACGGGAGGCAGCAGUAGGGAAUCUUCGGCAAUGGACGAAAGUCUGAACGAGCAACGCCGCGUGAGUGAAGAAGGUUUUCGGAUCGUAAAACUCUGUUGUUAGAGAAGCGGUAUCUAACCAGAAAGCCACGGCUAACUACGUGCCAGCAGCCGCGGUAAUUC